GUUGCGAUGGCCGAGUGGUUAAGGCGUUUGACUAGAAAUCAAAUGGGAUCUUCCCGCGUAGGUUCGAAUCCUACUCGCAACG
This 82-nucleotide transfer RNA is filed under the name Lytechinus pictus (painted urchin). Its description in RNAcentral is "transfer RNA serine (anticodon AGA)". It matches the Rfam family "tRNA". From Rfam's summary of the family: Transfer RNA (tRNA) molecules are approximately 80 nucleotides in length. Their secondary structure includes four short double-helical elements and three loops (D, anti-codon, and T loops). Further hydrogen bonds mediate the characteristic L-shaped molecular structure. tRNAs have two regions of fundamental functional importance: the anti-codon, which is responsible for specific mRNA codon recognition, and the 3' end, to which the tRNAs corresponding amino acid is attached (by aminoacyl-tRNA synthetases). tRNAs cope with the degeneracy of the genetic code in two manners: having more than one tRNA (with a specific anti-codon) for a particular amino acid; and 'wobble' base-pairing, i.e. permitting non-standard base-pairing at the 3rd anti-codon position. RNAcentral also lists the same sequence under 1 other name. Lineage: Eukaryota; Metazoa; Echinodermata; Echinoidea; Temnopleuroida; Toxopneustidae. The record is from RNAcentral.